UCCUAGUCGAUCUCUCGCGUUAGGGAUAGGAGUGAAAAUCCUUUUAUCACGCAUUAGCGUGACAAAAGAUUGUAACGCAUAGCCCGACCAUAC
RNAcentral lists this small RNA (93 nucleotides) under Nonlabens sp. Hel1_33_55. RNAcentral's name for it is "Flavo-1 RNA". It matches the Rfam family "Flavo-1 RNA". The record is from RNAcentral. Lineage: Bacteria; Pseudomonadati; Bacteroidota; Flavobacteriia; Flavobacteriales; Flavobacteriaceae.